RNAcentral lists this long non-coding RNA (860 nucleotides) under Triticum aestivum (bread wheat). RNAcentral describes it as "long non-coding RNA (TAES_LNC022117)". Lineage: Eukaryota; Viridiplantae; Streptophyta; Magnoliopsida; Poales; Poaceae. The record is from RNAcentral.
UGAGAACUGAACUAUGUCAGGUAUGUCAGAUCUCCAAAAUGAUAUAUAUAUAUAUAUAUACUUAGUUACCUAUGUUAUCUCUAAUAUGCUUAGUUUCCUAUAGGUUAGCUCCAAAAUUACUUAUGUUAGCACAAAAUGAUCAAGUUUACAUAAUAAACUUAUAGUCUUCUUCUUAUUCUUCUUCUUUUCCAAAAUGACAUAUGUUAGCUUCAUUUUACCUAAGUUGGCUCUAAUAUGCUAACUUAGAGCUUAUAUGCUUAGUUUCCUAUAGGUUAGCUCCAAAAUAACUUAUGUUAGCACAAAAUGAUCAAGUUUACAUUAUAAGCUUAUAGUCUUCUCUUAUUCUUCUUAUUCUUCUUAUUUUCCAAAAUGACAUAUGUUAGCUUCAUUUUACCUAAGUUGGCUCUAAUAUGCUAACUUAGAGCUUAUAUGCUUAGUUUCCUAUAGGUUAGCUCCAAAAUAACUUAUGUUAGCACAAAAUGAUCAAGUUUACAUAAUAAGCUUAUAGUCUUCUCUUAUUCUUCUUAUUCUUCUUAUUUUCCAAAAUGACAUAGGUUAGCUUCAUUUUACCUAAGUUGGCUUUAAUGUGCUAACUUAGAGCUUAUAUGCUUAGUUUCCUAUAGGUUAGCUUCUUCUUCUUCUAACUUCUUGUUUAUCAUUUUGCAGAUUUGAUUUAAUUCAUGGAAGCUUGCAUGGAUGGAGUGCUUCUUUUCCAUUUGUGUUUUUAUUUUGUAUCAGUGUGAAACUUUUGUGAAUUGAUGGAUAACGGUGUUGGAUGAACAAUGUGAAACUUUUGUAAUAUGUAACGAUGGAACUAUGUGUUGGCUAUGUAUGUAUAUAUGAUGAAACUUGUGUGUUGG